AUCACUUCUUGGCCUUUUGGCUAAGAUCAAGUGUAGAAGCUGUUGACUUAAGCCUUUUACAGCUCAACAUAUUAAUAUGGCUUUACUUUUCAUACCUCGUUUUUAUACUUUUCUGCUGAAGGGUUAAAACCAAGAUAAAGCAAGACCUAUAUAACAAGAAAUUUAACUUUUGUAUCUGACAAAUUCAG
Molecule: small nuclear RNA, 188 nt
Organism: Octodon degus (degu)
Lineage: Eukaryota; Metazoa; Chordata; Mammalia; Rodentia; Octodontidae
Product: U2 spliceosomal RNA
Exons: 1
Source: RefSeq, a predicted model, not a curated record